AUACGUAGGGGGCGAGCGUUGUCCGGAAUGACUGGGCGUAAAGGGCGUGUAGGCGGCCGAUUAAGUCUGGAGUGAAAGUCCCGCUUUCAAGGUGGGAAUUGCUUUGGAGACUGGUUGGCUUGAGUGCGGAAGAGGUAAGUGGAAUUCCCAGUGUAGCGGUGAAAUGCGUAGAGAUUGGGAGGAACACCAGUGGCGAAGGCGACUUACUGGGCCGUAACUGACGCUGAGGCGCGAAAGCGUGGGGAGCGAACAGGAUUAGAUACCCUGGUAGUCCACACUGUAAACGAUGAAUGCUAGGUGUAGGGGGUAUCGACCCCUUCUGUGCCGCAGUCAACACAAUAAGCAUUCCGCCUGGGGAGUACGGCCGCAAGGUUGAAACUCAAAUGAAUUGGCGGGG
RNAcentral lists this ribosomal RNA (397 nucleotides) under uncultured bacterium. RNAcentral describes it as "partial 16S ribosomal RNA". It matches the Rfam family "Bacterial small subunit ribosomal RNA", at positions 523 to 918 of the family's 1533-position model. The record is from RNAcentral.